Molecule: long non-coding RNA, 667 nt
Filed under: Homo sapiens (human)
Lineage: Eukaryota; Metazoa; Chordata; Mammalia; Primates; Hominidae
Description: non-protein coding lnc-XRCC4-3:1
Source: RNAcentral
AUUCAAUUGUUAGAAAGAUGACUUAGUCAAUUUAUACUUAUUGAAAGAAGAGAGUAAAUGAAUCAAUAAAUGAAUGUUCAUUGUAUUCAAAUAUAAAGUAACAGGAGAACUUGAACAUAUCCUUUAAGUCCCAUAAGAGAAGAAUGGAGUGAAAGACAGUAUUUAAGGAAGAAAGAUAUUUUCAGGGCCCUUAUUGCUCUUGUGUAUUGUCUAGUUAAUGCUAACCUCUUCGCCACUGUCAGUCCUAGAAGGGCAAGCAUUUCAUUGUCCUCAUUCACUGCUACAUCCCCAGCCCCCAGCAUAGUAAUUGGCACAUGACAGACACUCAAUGCAUGUUUGCUAAAUAAAUUACAUAGGGAAUUUUUUAGAGCAAAGGCUCGUUAUAGAGAGGGAAAUUUUUGAGGCAUUAAAAGAAGAUAAUACAAACAAAACAAAACCUAAAGCAUCUUAAGUCAAAUCACUAAAAAUGGUCUCCAAAUUUCUCUGUGUCUGACCUCGUCUGAGCCUCACUGAGCUUUGAGCUCUCCCCCUGUACAAUGUCAAGCCAGGGAGGCAGCCAUAAGUGAUAAUCUAUGUAAACUCAACCACUCUCUCAUUACCCCAGAGUAGAUUGUAAAAACUGAUACUGCCUCUUGAGAGUUCUUUUGGAGAGCACUCUCUACUUCCA